This 207-nucleotide long non-coding RNA is filed under the name Sorghum bicolor (sorghum). RNAcentral's name for it is "long non-coding RNA (SBIC_LNC016514)". The record is from RNAcentral. Lineage: Eukaryota; Viridiplantae; Streptophyta; Magnoliopsida; Poales; Poaceae.
CGCAAUGCAAACAUUGUAAUUGUACAUAUGCUUGUGAGAAAUUCCAGGAACAACCAUGAAACUGAAGCUCACCCCUAGCUAUAUGGCCCGCCUAUCCCUUGUGCUGGUUUCCAGUGAGGCCUCUCGGCCUUUUGCCUGAAUGCAACCAGCACAACGUCGAAACCAUCCGAAAGCCACUCAGCACCAAAGACCAUGUUCCACCUAUGC